CAUUAAUUAAUGGUAGCAUAUUAGGCUCAUAAUCUAAUUAUGAUGGUUCAAUUCCAUCCAUUAAUAA
Molecule: transfer RNA, 67 nt
Filed under: Spizellomyces sp. 'palustris'
Lineage: Eukaryota; Fungi; Chytridiomycota; Chytridiomycetes; Spizellomycetales; Spizellomycetaceae
Description: tRNA-Met
Rfam family: tRNA
About the family: Transfer RNA (tRNA) molecules are approximately 80 nucleotides in length.
Source: RNAcentral